Non-coding RNA from Echinostoma caproni, 46 nucleotides. Lineage: Eukaryota; Metazoa; Platyhelminthes; Trematoda; Plagiorchiida; Echinostomatidae. The record is from Rfam.
UUCAAGGCCUUUUUAAAGGCCACCACUGUUGAGCAGCCUACGACAU